RNAcentral lists this signal recognition particle RNA (308 nucleotides) under Setaria italica (foxtail millet). Its description in RNAcentral is "SRP RNA Plant_SRP". It matches the Rfam family "Plant signal recognition particle RNA". Lineage: Eukaryota; Viridiplantae; Streptophyta; Magnoliopsida; Poales; Poaceae. The record is from Rfam by way of RNAcentral.
GCCGAGCUCAGUAGCGAGAGCUUGUAACCCAAGUGGGGGCAUCCAAGGUGGCGUGGAUGUUGGGUGCGGAAUUUGGUCCUGGACCCGUGGUUGUGCCUAAGCUGGCCUGCCCGUUCCAAGUUGGUAGUGGCUGGUGGGGCUUAGACGAAUGUCUUGGGCCUCCCUGGGCCUAAAGUGGCAGGAAUAGCGUGAGGCUGGCUUCACAGAGCAGCGAUCACUGGCCCGCUUCCAACGGUGGGAGGAUAACAGGCUGCUGCACCAUGAGCCCGCUUAGGCCCAAAGUCCCACUGCAACAGACCGCCAUCUUU